Molecule: non-coding RNA, 30 nt
Filed under: Rattus norvegicus (Norway rat)
Lineage: Eukaryota; Metazoa; Chordata; Mammalia; Rodentia; Muridae
Source: RNAcentral
UGGCAUCAAAUUUGGCAAAUCUGAUCAAGC